AGAGUUUGAUCCUGGCUCAGGAUGAACGCUGGCGGUAUGCCUAACACAUGCAAGUCGUACGAGAGUUUUUAACUCAAGUGGCGGACGGGUGAGUAACACGUGAGAAUUUACCUCUAGGAGGGGGAUAACAACUGGAAACGGUUGCUAAUACCCCAUAUGCUUCCGAGUGAAAUGAAUUUAUUCGCCUAGAGAGAAGCUCGCGGCUGAUUAGCUUGUUGGUAGGGUAAAAGCCUACCAAGGCGACGAUCAGUAUCUGGUUUGAGAGGACGAUCAGACACACUGGAACUGAGACACGGUCCAGACUCCUACGGGAGGCAGCAGUGGGGAAUUUUCCGCAAUGGGCGAAAGCCUGACGGAGCAAUACCGCGUGAGGGAAGACGGCCUAUGGGUUGUAAACCUCUUUUUUCAGGGAGGAAGAUCUGACGGUACCUAAUGAAUAAGCAUCGGCUAACUCCGUGCCAGCAGCCGCGGUAAUACGGAGGAUGCGAGCGUUAUCCGGAAUUAUUGGGCGUAAAGAGUCCGUAGGUGGUUUAGCAAGUCUGCCGUUAAAGAAUGGAGCUUAACUCCGGAACGGCGGUGGAAACUUGAGGGCUUGAGUGUGGUAGGGGCAGAGGGAAUUCCCAGUGUAGCGGUGAAAUGCGUAGAUAUUGGGAAGAACAUCGGUGGCGAAAGCGUGCUACUGGGCUGAAACUGACACUGAGGGACGAAAGCUAGGGUAGCGAAAGGGAUUAGAUACCCCUGUAGUCCUAGCCGUAAACGAUGGAAACUAGGUGUGGCUUGUAUCGACCCGAGCCGUGCCGUAGCUAACGCGUUAAGUAUCCCGCCUGGGGAGUACGCACGCAAGUGUGAAACUCAAAGGAAUUGACGGGGGCCCGCACAAGCGGUGGAGUAUGUGGUUUAAUUCGAUGCAACGCGAAGAACCUUACCAAGACUUGACAUGUCGCGAAUCUUCUUGAAAGAGAAGAGUGCCUUCGGGAGCGCGAACACAGGUGGUGCAUGGCUGUCGUCAGCUCGUGUCGUGAGAUGUUGGGUUAAGUCCCGCAACGAGCGCAACCCUCAUUCUUAGUUGCCAGCAUUAAGGUGGGCACUUUAGGAAGACUGCCGGUGACAAACCGGAGGAAGGUGAGGAUGACGUCAAGUCAGCAUGCCCCUUACGCCCUGGGCUACACACGUACUACAAUGGUUGGGACAAAGGGCAGCGACUCCGCGAGGAAUAGCGAAUCUCAUCAAACCCAGCCUCAGUUCAGAUUGCAGGCUGCAACUCGCCUGCAUGAAGGAGGAAUCGCUAGUAAUCGCAGGUCAGCAUACUGCGGUGAAUUCGUUCCCGGGCCUUGUACACACCGCCCGUCACACCAUGGAAGCUGGUCACGCCCGAAGUAGUUACCCUAACCUUUCGAGGAGGGGGAUUCCUAAGGCAGGGCUAGUGACUGGGGUGAAGUCGUAACAAGGUAACC
Molecule: ribosomal RNA, 1454 nt
Filed under: uncultured prokaryote
Description: partial 16S ribosomal RNA
Rfam family: Bacterial small subunit ribosomal RNA
Source: RNAcentral